RNAcentral lists this ribosomal RNA (483 nucleotides) under uncultured bacterium. Its description in RNAcentral is "partial 16S ribosomal RNA". It matches the Rfam family "Bacterial small subunit ribosomal RNA", at positions 30 to 506 of the family's 1533-position model. The record is from RNAcentral.
AUUGAACGCUGGCGGCAGGCCUAACACAUGCAAGUCGAGCGGAUGAAGGGAGCUUGCUCCUGGAUUCAGCGGCGGACGGGUGAGUAAUGCCUAGGAAUCUGCCUGGUAGUGGGGGAUAACGUCCGGAAACGGGCGCUAAUACCGCAUACGUCCUGAGGGAGAAAGUGGGGGAUCUUCGGACCUCACGCUAUCAGAUGAGCCUAGGUCGGAUUAGCUAGUUGGUGGGGUAAAGGCCUACCAAGGCGACGAUCCGUAACUGGUCUGAGAGGAUGAUCAGUCACACGGGAACUGAGACCCGGUCCAGACCCCUACGGGAGGCAGAGGGGGGGAAUAUGGGAAAAUGGGCGAAAGCCUGAUCCAGCCAUGCCGGGUGGGUGAAGAAGGUUUUCGGUUUGUAAAGCCCUUUAAGUUGGGAGGAAGGGAAGUAAGUUAAAACCUGGCUUUUUUGACGUUACCAAAAAAAAAAGCACCGGCUAACUUCGU